GUGCAGCAGGCCACUAUUUGAAUGUGUGUUGCUCCUUGUGGCAGGUAUACUGUUCCAAUGCCCUGGGAUCUCUGUAGUGGUCGGUACUGUAUUGAUUAUAAAUGGUGAAGUCCUAGUAUCUUGCUAGAGUGAGCUGGCCAGGAUGGUGGAGCUCUACCACCAUUUCACAGGUUAUAGACAGGGGCCCCCAGGUUUCAGGAAAGCAGCAAUGACCCCUCAGUAAUAGUUGGAAAGUGUGAUAUGACACUGAGCUUCACUGUGUUGGUGAAGAAGAGGUGAGGAAAAUAAAAGUUGCAGUUUGCCUCCACCUCUGAAGAAGCACAAUAUACCUUUCUGGGUUACCCAUGGGAUACUUCCCAACAGCUUUGUCAUCACAUACAAUAUUUGCAAACAAGAUCUUAAUGGCAUCCACUUUCUCCAGGAACACAGCCCCUGACAUGUGCGUGUUUGCGUAGAGAAGGCAUGCUAUGUACCCCCUAGGAUACCAAGAUUUCUGUAGCAGAUUGAGCUCUGGCAGUUGAUCUCAGUGGCUUGAUAGAGUGUCAUUAUAAAAACGCACCUGGAAGAU
Molecule: long non-coding RNA, 568 nt
Filed under: Pan troglodytes (chimpanzee)
Lineage: Eukaryota; Metazoa; Chordata; Mammalia; Primates; Hominidae
Description: lincRNA
Source: RNAcentral